RNAcentral lists this transfer RNA (66 nucleotides) under Xystodesmus sp. YD-2016. RNAcentral's name for it is "tRNA-Met". Lineage: Eukaryota; Metazoa; Arthropoda; Diplopoda; Polydesmida; Xystodesmidae. The record is from RNAcentral.
AAAAAGAUAAGCUAAAGUUAAAGCUGAUGGGGUCAUAUCUCAUAUAUGAAUAUGUUUCUCUUUUUA